GGAUGUGAGGGCGAUCUGGCUGUGACAUCUAUCACCCCACUGAUCGCCAGGGUUGAGUCGUCUGAUCUGGCUGGCUAGGCGGGUGUCCCCUUCCUCCCUCAACAAUCCAUGUGCAUCCCUCCCAAAGCUGCAUGCUUGGUCGAAGAGGAUGACCACCCCCGACAGAGGAGGACCGUUGCUUGGUCAAGAGUAGCUGUGCUCUCCUGCUAGAACCUCCAAACAAGCUCUCAAAAUCCUAAUAGUUUCUGGUUGCAAAGAGGGAUCUGAUUGGAUAAGACCUCCACUUCAAUGCUUUAAGGUAAGGGGCCACCUUAGGGCCAU
This 321-nucleotide small nuclear RNA is filed under the name Octodon degus (degu). RNAcentral's name for it is "7SK RNA (ENSODEG00000024050.1)". It matches the Rfam family "7SK RNA". Rfam says of the family: 7SK was discovered as an abundant small nuclear RNA in the mid-70s but a possible function has only recently been suggested. Two independent studies have found that 7SK RNA binds the CDK9/cyclin T complex (known as elongation factor P-TEFb). P-TEFb activates transcription by phosphorylating the C-terminal domain of RNA polymerase II. The record is from Rfam by way of RNAcentral. Lineage: Eukaryota; Metazoa; Chordata; Mammalia; Rodentia; Octodontidae.